GCCAAUGUGGUAUAGUGGUUUGUGCGCUGGACUAAGACAUUGGGAGACCAGGGUUCAAAUCCCUGCUUAGUGUCA
Phrynosoma platyrhinos (Desert horned lizard) is the source of this 75-nucleotide non-coding RNA. NCBI's taxonomy places the organism in Eukaryota, Metazoa, Chordata, Lepidosauria, Squamata, Phrynosomatidae. The record is from the annotation of a GenBank genome assembly.